RNAcentral lists this long non-coding RNA (1148 nucleotides) under Daucus carota (carrot). Its description in RNAcentral is "long non-coding RNA (DCAR_LNC004921)". Lineage: Eukaryota; Viridiplantae; Streptophyta; Magnoliopsida; Apiales; Apiaceae. The record is from RNAcentral.
AAAUAGAUUUAUAAUAAUCAAAUCUAAAUUUAAUAAUAUGGGAUAUUACAUUCUACCCCCCUUAUAAGGAUUCCGCCCUCGGAAUCCGCAAAGAGAACUCAAACGUAUCACUUUGAAGAUUCCACCAUACACUUCGUAAUAACGUAUCAUCAUUCACCUUUGAUCGGCCUUGGCAUACCUUUAGCUUUAAUGGAAAAAGGAACAUCAAACUUUCGCGAUUGCAAAAUUCAUUUCCCAAGAAUCGAUCUUUGGGAAUUUUCGAAUAGAACGAGGUGUUUUCAAAAUAGGUCACAUUGGAAUAUAAGAGUGACUGGGAGAUCAAUACGAUCAAAUGAACUUAAUGUUGCGUGUCCACAGUAGACACUACUAAAGGUUGUUAACCUUCUUGUAAUCACAACACACACAAGUGAUGGCGUCCCAUCCAACUCCUAUCACACAGACAGGUAUACCUUGUGUCCCCUAUACAUAGGGUUGUUCAUCCCAAUCAAAUUGAAGAAAUGUUAAGGAAUAUCAAAGAAUAUCAAAGAAUCUCGAGAAUAUCAAAGAACAUCAAGGGAUAUCAAGGAUGAUGAAAGAAUAUCAAGGAAUGUCAAGAAAUGUCAAACAAUAUCAAGGAACAUCACUAUCUCUUCACAACAAACUUUUAUCACACAUCUUUGCUUUCCAACUCAUACCAAUAAUCAAUAUCAAUGUCAUCUUAGAAUUUGAGAAAUUGAAAAUCUCAUUUAUCAAAACUUUUGUAGAAAAGAUAUCAUGAUAAUAUCUCACUGAUGAGAAAACAAUCAAAAGAAUUUUUAGUUGAAGAGAGGUAUUGCCAAGGUCUUCUCAGAUUCCGACUCUACUUCAAUAAAUCAUUGUACGAUAUAUGUCUUCUUUUCAACGUUCUUGAUGAUCAAUCGAUUUGACUCGUAAUAGCCUCGUAAGAUGUCAUCGUAGACGUUAUCGUUCGUAAUAACUCUCGCCCAUGUAGUCCACGUUCUCAUGCUUCAUCCAGUUGCCUUUGAAGUCCAUAACACAACACGUAGCAUAUCUCCGAUUUUCUGAAUCGUCGCCCUGUGGGUUAUGGGCCCACCUUGUCCCGCUUACUUAAAGCAUCGUCGUCGAGGACUAACGUUCUAACUUACUCGCAGACAUCACCUCUAAUAACU